This 734-nucleotide ribosomal RNA is filed under the name Pedionomus torquatus (plains-wanderer). RNAcentral describes it as "partial 12S ribosomal RNA". It matches the Rfam family "Bacterial small subunit ribosomal RNA", at positions 499 to 1521 of the family's 1533-position model. Lineage: Eukaryota; Metazoa; Chordata; Aves; Charadriiformes; Pedionomidae. The record is from RNAcentral.
AAUCUUGUGCCAGCCACCGCGGUCACACAAGAGACCCAAAUUAACGAUUACACGGCGUAAAGAGUGGCACUACGCUAUCCUCAAAACUAAGACUAAAGUACAACUAAGCUGUCAUAAGCUCAAGAUGCUACUAACCCCUCCCCUCAACACGGUCUUAGUCUAUCAGACCAACUUAUUACCACGAAAGCUAAGACACAAACUGGGAUUAGAUACCCCACUAUGCUUAGCCCUAAAUCUCGAUGUCCCACCUUACUAGGACAUCCGCCUGAGAACUACGAGCACAAACGCUUAAAACUCUAAGGACUUGGCGGUACCCCAAACCCACCUAGAGGAGCCUGUUCUAUAAUCGAUAACCCACGUUGCACCCGACCGCUCUUUGCCAAAUCAGCCUACAUACCGCCGUCGCCAGCUCACCUUCACUGAAAGUACUACAGUGAGCAUAAUAGCCCGCCCGCUAAUAAGACAGGUCGAGGUAUAGCCCAUAGAGCGGAAGAAAUGGGCUACACUCUCUAAAGUAGAGAAAUUCACGGAAGGGGGCGUGAAAUAGCCCCUAGAAGGCGGAUUUAGCAGUAAAACGGAACAAUAAAGUCCCUUUUAAGCUGGCUCUGGGGUACGUACAUACCGCCCGUCACCCUCCUCACAAGCUAUCUAUCCACCAUAAGUAAUUCCCCACACAGCUGAAGAAGAGGUAAGUCGUAACAAGGUAAGUGUACCGGAAGGUGCACUUAGCACAA